AAAAAAAAACAUGCAAUUCAAAGUGUAGUUGAAGGAAAAAUCAUUACUAGUUACAACCACUAGGCGAAAGCCAGUGCCAUAAUUUGGAGCCUUCAAAGGCUUGUUUUACAACACAAAUCUCAACUAAAAGAACAAUCUUAAUUUAGUGUUCAGUAAACAUUACCCACGGAGGGUGUAGUUCAAGAAUCAAUUGAUGAAAUUCGUUGGCCAUAUGAGGGUUUAUCAAGAAAUUUUGGUAUGGGAGUUUUAGGCAGGUGUGGUAGAUAUUGAUGAUUGUUU
This 279-nucleotide long non-coding RNA is filed under the name Capsicum annuum. RNAcentral's name for it is "long non-coding RNA (CANN_LNC011817)". Lineage: Eukaryota; Viridiplantae; Streptophyta; Magnoliopsida; Solanales; Solanaceae. The record is from RNAcentral.